Molecule: ribosomal RNA, 253 nt
Filed under: uncultured bacterium
Lineage: Bacteria
Description: partial 16S ribosomal RNA
Rfam family: Bacterial small subunit ribosomal RNA
Source: RNAcentral
UACGUAGGGGGCUAGCGUUGUCCGGAUUUAUUGGGCGUAAAGAGCGUGUAGGCGGCCAGGUAGGUCUGCUGUGAAAACUCGAGGCUCAACCUCGAGACGUCGGCGGAAACCAUCUGGCUAGAGUCCGGAAGAGGAGAGUGGAAUUCCUGGUGUAGCGGUGAAAUGCGUAGAUAUCGGGAGGAACACCUGAGGCGAAGGCGGGCUACUGGGCCGAUACUGACGCUGAUGCGCGAAAGCCAGGGGAGCGAACGGG